This 483-nucleotide ribosomal RNA is filed under the name uncultured bacterium. RNAcentral's name for it is "bacterial SSU rRNA". It matches the Rfam family "Bacterial small subunit ribosomal RNA", at positions 28 to 505 of the family's 1533-position model. The record is from RNAcentral.
GAUGAACGCUAGCGGCAGGCUUAACACAUGCAAGUCGAGGGGCAGCACGGGUAGCAAUACCUGGUGGCGACCGGCGCAAGGGUGCGUAACGCGUGAGCAACAUGCCCUAUACAGGGGGAUAAUCCAGGGAAACUUGGUCUAAUAUCCCAUAGUAUUUAGAGGAGGCAUCUUCUAUAAAUUAAAGCUUCGGUGGUAUAGGAUUGGCUCGCGUGACAUUAGCUAGAUGGUGAGGUAACGGCUCACCAUGGCAAUGAUGUCUAGGGGUUCUGAGAGGAAGGCCCCCCACACUGGGACUGAGACACGGCCCAGACUCCUACGGGAGGCAGCAGUGAGGAAUAUUGGACAAUGGAUGGAAAUCUGAUCCAGCCAUGCCGCGUGCAGGAAGACAGCCCUAUGGGUUGUAAACUGCUUUUCCAGGGGGAGAAACUUGCGCACGUGUUGCGCAAUUGACGGUACCCUGGGAAUAAGCAUCGGCUAACUCCG